GAAGAACCAGUUAAGCUCUGGGUAGACUCCUUUGUCAGUGAACAUUCUGAGGGGGCCAAUGACCCCCCAAAUGAUUGAUGCAUUGUAGAACACAUCAUCAGCAUGACAUGUCCAUGGACUUCCCUCUGGCAGCUUUGAUGGAUCACAUAUGUGCUCAAUGGUUGUGAGAAGCCACCAAGAUGCGACAAAGUAGACACUUGAAGCAACUAUUGUUCCAACUAACCGAAGAUCAUUGCAAACAAAAAACAAAAAACAAGGAGGGGGAAUAGAAAUGACUAGAUAAUUUUAAAGAAAAUUCUAACUAGAUAAGGACUCGUUAACAAUAAAUAUACAUUAAUUUGAUAAUUGUGUUUAUAUAAUCGAUAGUCUAAACUAUUGUAAAUUGAAAAUGGAGAUUCGAAUUUGGGUGCAAGGAGACGAGUUUGCUACCCUAACCAACUGACUUAAUCUAUUCCAUACAACGAAAAAAAAUACAAAAAAACAAAAAAAACAAAAAACAUGACCCUCGAUAAACGGUUUACAAUAAUGAUAAUAAAUGAAUAUGUACCAUUGUCAUUACAAAGUCUACCAAAGUGCAUGUAUGUGGAAAUUUACAAGUCAGCAGGAGCUAAUAAUAUUGUCGGAUGAAGCUGGGUCCUAUAAAAUUAGUAGAUAAUACAUGCCUUGACACAGCAUAGUGAUCGAUAAGUUCUACUUUCAUAGAUUUCAUAGAGUUUUCCAUCCCAAAAAGCUUAAAAGCUUCAUUUCAUACCCUUCUCUCCAACAUGAAGCAAAAGAUACUAUUGAGUGUGCCAAUGCACUGUGACAAAUGCCGAACCAAGGCCUUGAAGAUUGCUGCAGCUGCGCACGGUGUGAGCAAAGUGUCGAUCGAAGGAGCAGACAAAGAUCAUAUUGAGGUGAUUGGAGAUGGGGUU
Long non-coding RNA from Prunus persica (peach), 914 nucleotides. RefSeq lists it as uncharacterized. The record is from RefSeq and is a predicted model, not a curated record. Lineage: Eukaryota; Viridiplantae; Streptophyta; Magnoliopsida; Rosales; Rosaceae. The transcript has 4 exons.